ACUCAUCUUCAGGGCGGGGCGAAACUCCCCACCGGCGGUAAGCCUGUUUGUUGUCGGGCAAGCCCGCGAGCGCUCGCGUUCACGCGAGGUCAGCAGAUCUGGUGUAAUUCCAGGGCCGACGGUCACAGUCCGGAUGGAAGAAGAUGUUG
This is a non-coding RNA of Acidithiobacillus sp. GGI-221, 149 nucleotides long. NCBI's taxonomy places the organism in Bacteria, Pseudomonadati, Pseudomonadota, Acidithiobacillia, Acidithiobacillales, Acidithiobacillaceae. The record is from Rfam.